GUCGUAACAAGGUUUCCGUAGGUGAACCUGCGGAAGGAUCAUUAACGAGUUUUGAAAGGGGUUGUAGCUGGCCUUCCGAGGCAUGUGCACGCCCUGCUCAUUCCACUCUACACCUGUGCACUUACUGUGGGUCUCAGGCGAGCGUCGGUCGCUUCGCGGCGUCGUCGUUCAACUGGGCUCACGUUUUACUACAAACUAUUAAAGUAUCAGAAUGUCUACUGCGAAUUAACGCAUUUAAAUACAACUUUCAGCAACGGAUCUCUUGGCUCUCGCAUCGAUGAAGAACGCAGCGAAAUGCGAUAAGUAAUGUGAAUUGCAGAAUUCAGUGAAUCAUCGAAUCUUUGAACGCACCUUGCGCUCCUUGGUAUUCCGAGGAGCAUGCCUGUUUGAGUGUCAUGAAAUUCUCAACCUAACGAGUCUUUGCGGGCUCGGUAGGCUUGGACUUGGAGGUUCUUGUCGGCCUUAACGGUCGGCUCCUCUUAAAUGCAUUAGCUCGGUUCCUUGCGGAUCGGCUCACGGUGUGAUAAUUGUCUACGCCGCGACCGUUGAAGCGUUUUGGCCGGCUUCUAAUCGUCUCGUUGGAGACACUACUCUUUAUGACCUUCUGACCUCAAAUCAGGUAGGACUACCCGCUGAACUUAAGCAU
The sequence is a ribosomal RNA, 646 nucleotides long. The stretch from base 243 to 396 matches the Rfam family "5.8S ribosomal RNA".